AGGGUCAUAGUGUCAAUGGUAGCACGACGGUCUCCAAAACCGCAAGUAGGGGUUCAAAUCCUCUUGACCCUGCCA
Molecule: transfer RNA, 75 nt
Filed under: bacterium
Lineage: Bacteria
Description: tRNA-Trp
Rfam family: tRNA
About the family: Transfer RNA (tRNA) molecules are approximately 80 nucleotides in length. Their secondary structure includes four short double-helical elements and three loops (D, anti-codon, and T loops).
Source: RNAcentral